RNAcentral lists this ribosomal RNA (508 nucleotides) under uncultured Glomus. Its description in RNAcentral is "SSU rRNA". It matches the Rfam family "Eukaryotic small subunit ribosomal RNA", at positions 569 to 1078 of the family's 1831-position model. The record is from RNAcentral. Lineage: Eukaryota; Fungi; Glomeromycota; Glomeromycetes; Glomerales; Glomeraceae.
AGCAGCCGCGGUAAUUCCAGCUCCAAUAGCGUAUAUUAAAGUUGUUGCAGUUAAAAAGCUCGUAGUUGAAUUUCGGGGUUAGCAGGUCGGUCGUGCCAUUGGUAUGAACUGGUCUCGCUGAUCCCUCCCUCUUGACGAACUGUGAUGCCAUUAAUUUGGUGUCGCAGGGAAUCAGGACUGUUACUUUAGAAAAAUUAGAGUGUUUAAAGCAGGCUCACGCUUGAAUACAUUAGCAUGGAAUAAUGAAAUAGGACGUUUGAUCCUAUUUUGUUGGCUUCUAGGAUUGACGUAAUGAUUAAUAGGGAUAGUUGGGGGCAUUAGUAUUCAAUUGUCAGAGGUGAAAUUCUUGGAUUUAUUGAAGACUAACUACUGCGAAAGCAUUUGCCAAGGAUGUUUUCAUUAAUCAAGAACGAAAGUUAGGGGAUCGAAGACGAUCAGAUACCGUCGUAGUCUUAACCAUAAACUAUGCCGACUAGGGAUCGGAUGAUGUUAAUUUUUAAUGUACUCU